GUGCAAAGCCCAUAUGAGCGUUGCUAAAGAUAGACGGAAUAAACCGGAUAAAAAAGAAACGGAAACGAACAACGCCACCACCCACACAGCAGGAGACGCGCUCAUUGGGAGAUCACGAUCGAACGAUCGAGACGAAACCGGUGUCAUCUAUCGGAGUCCCGUGAUAUUACAAGCAAAAUCUGGAUAGAAGCCAGUUUGCAACACACAAACAGCUGAUUUCUUUGUGUUAAAAAAUUGAAUGAUUUUGCUAUUUCGAGAUCUUAAUAAACAUUUUCUGGGUA
Molecule: long non-coding RNA, 281 nt
Organism: Daphnia pulex (common water flea)
Lineage: Eukaryota; Metazoa; Arthropoda; Branchiopoda; Diplostraca; Daphniidae
Exons: 2
Source: RefSeq, a predicted model, not a curated record